GCCGAGAGGGCGAGGAAUACAACACCCGCAAGGGGAAUAACUCCAGCCUACUUACUAGGGCUUUCGAACCUCUUGGCACCCUUAU
This 85-nucleotide non-coding RNA is filed under the name Pasteurella bettyae CCUG 2042. Its description in RNAcentral is "sRNA-Xcc1". It matches the Rfam family "sRNA-Xcc1". Lineage: Bacteria; Pseudomonadati; Pseudomonadota; Gammaproteobacteria; Pasteurellales; Pasteurellaceae. The record is from Rfam by way of RNAcentral.